Spinacia oleracea (spinach) is the source of this 367-nucleotide long non-coding RNA. RefSeq lists it as uncharacterized. Lineage: Eukaryota; Viridiplantae; Streptophyta; Magnoliopsida; Caryophyllales; Amaranthaceae. The transcript is spliced from 3 exons. The record is from RefSeq and is a predicted model, not a curated record.
ACCGUCAGCCACCUUCGUCGUUCCCCUGCACGCUGCGCCGCACCACCCGUUGCUGCUGCCCAGUCGGCCUCCAUCCUUCUCCUCCACACACGCAAGCAACUUUUCCCUCUCUUCUGUGUUUCUUGCUCGAACACGCAACCACCAUUGCCGACCACCGCGUCGCCCAGCCCUGCCGCCGCCAGGCCCGCUGUCGUGUGUUGUUUACCGCCGGCCAGCACUUCCUCUUCCUCUCUCUUUGGCGGAGAAUUCUCUUUAGGCGACUUCUGAAAGUGUUAAAGUGGCCUAUUAGUUUGUUUACACAAGUCUCUAAGGAUUAAUAAGCGUUGCCCAUCUACAGGUUCGAAGAUGAUGCAUCAUUGGGAUCGGG